UGGCGGACGGGUGAGUAAUGUCUGGGAAACUGCCUGAUGGAGGGGGAUAACUACUGGAAACGGUAGCUAAUACCGCAUAACGUCGCAAGACCAAAGAGGGGGACCUUCGGGCCUCUUGCCAUCAGAUGUGCCCAGAUGGGAUUGGCUAGUAGGUGGGGUAACGGGCUCACCUAGGCGACGAUCCCUAGCUGGUCCGAGAGGAUGACCAGCCACACUGGAACUGAGACACGGUCCAGACUCCUACGGGAGGCAGCAUG
This 257-nucleotide ribosomal RNA is filed under the name uncultured bacterium. Its description in RNAcentral is "partial 16S ribosomal RNA". It matches the Rfam family "Bacterial small subunit ribosomal RNA", at positions 96 to 353 of the family's 1533-position model. The record is from RNAcentral.